UGCACCGCUGACGACCGGCGAACGGGUGCGUAACGCGUAUAGAAUCUGCCUUGUACAGGAGGAUAGCCUUUAGAAAUGAAGAUUAAUACUCCAUAAUGUUGGGAAGUGGCAUCACUAUCUAACUAAAGAUUUAUCGGUACAAGAUGACUAUGCGUCCUAUUAGCUAGAUGGUAAGGUAACGGCUUACCAUGGCAACGAUAGGUAGGGGGUCUGAGAGGAUUAUCCCCCACACUGGUACUGAGACACGGACCAGACUCCUACGGGAGGCAGCAGUGAGGAAUAUUGGUCAAUGGAGGCAACUCUGAACCAGCCAUGCCGCGUGCAGGAAGACUGCCCUAUGGGUUGUAAACUGCUUUUAUACAGGAAGAAACAGUCGUACGUGUACGGCCUUGACGGUACUGUAAGAAUAAGCACCGGCUAACUCCGUGCCAGCAGCCGCGGUAAUACGGAGGGUGCAAGCGUUAUCCGGAA
RNAcentral lists this ribosomal RNA (471 nucleotides) under Tenacibaculum lutimaris. RNAcentral's name for it is "bacterial SSU rRNA". It matches the Rfam family "Bacterial small subunit ribosomal RNA", at positions 81 to 550 of the family's 1533-position model. The record is from RNAcentral. Lineage: Bacteria; Pseudomonadati; Bacteroidota; Flavobacteriia; Flavobacteriales; Flavobacteriaceae.